Molecule: ribosomal RNA, 503 nt
Filed under: uncultured bacterium
Lineage: Bacteria
Description: partial 16S ribosomal RNA
Rfam family: Bacterial small subunit ribosomal RNA
Source: RNAcentral
AACGAACGCUGGCGGCGUGUUUAAGACAUGCAAGUCGCACGGGAUAAGACAUGUAGUAAUACUUGUUUUAUUUAGUGGCGCACGGGUGAGUAACACGUGAAUUACAUGCCCUAUAGUGGGGAAUAGCCCAGGGAAACUUGGAUUAAUACCCCAUGGUAUCGAAAGAUUAAAGGUGGCCGCAAGGCUGUCGCUAUAGGAUUGGUUCGCGCCCUAUCAGCUUGUUGGUGGGGUAACGGCUCACCAAGGCAAUGACGGGUACCUGGUCUGAGGGGACGAUCAGGCACACUGGAACUGAGACACGGUCCAGACACCUACGGGUGGCAGCAGUCGAGAAUAAUUCACAAUGGGGGCAACCCUGAUGGUGCAACGCCGCGUGGAGGAUGACGGUCUUCGGAUUGUAAACUCCUGUCAUCUGGGAGAAAGACCUGACGGUAAAUAGCCGGCAGGGUUGAUAGUACCAGAAGAGGAAGGGACGGCUAACCUCGUGCCAGCAGCCGCAGUAA